RNAcentral lists this ribosomal RNA (397 nucleotides) under uncultured bacterium. Its description in RNAcentral is "partial 16S ribosomal RNA". It matches the Rfam family "Bacterial small subunit ribosomal RNA", at positions 523 to 918 of the family's 1533-position model. The record is from RNAcentral.
AUACGUAGGUGACAAGCGUUAUCCGGAUAUACUGGGCGUAAAGGGCGUGUAGGCGGUCUUGCAAGUCAGAAGUGAAAUUCCUGAGCUCAACUCGGGCGCUGCUUCUGAAACUGCAGGACUUGAGUGCUGGAGGGGAUAGCGGAAUUCCUAGUGGAGCGGUAAAAUGCGCAGAUAUUAGGAAGAACACCGGUGGCGAAGGCGGCUAUAUGGACAGUAACUGACGCGGAGGCGCGAAAGCGUGGGGAGCAAACAGGCGUAGAUGCCCUUGUAGUCCACGCCGUAAACGAUGAAUACUAGGUGUAGGGGGUAUCGACUCCCUCUGUGCCGCAGUUAACACAAUAAGUAUUCCGCCUGGGGAGUACGGCCGCAAGGUUGAAACUCAAAUGAAUUGGCGGGG